GACGAACGCUGGCGGCGUGCUUAACACAUGCAAGUCGAACGGAAAGGCCCUGCUUUUGUGGGGUGCUCGAGUGGCGAACGGGUGAGUAACACGUGAGUAACCUGCCCUUGACUUUGGGAUAACUUCAGGAAACUGGGGCUAAUACCGGAUAGGAGCUCCUGCUGCAUGGUGUGGGUUGGAAAGUUUCGGCGGUUGGGGAUGGACUCGCGGCUUAUCAGCUUGUUGGUGGGGUAGUGGCUUACCAAGGCUUUGACGGGUAGCCGGCCUGAGAGGGUGACCGGCCACAUUGGGACUGAGAUACGGCCCAGACUCCUACGGGAGGCAGCAGUGGGGAAUAUUGCACAAUGGGCGGAAGCCUGAUGCAGAAACGCCGCGUGCGGGAUGACGGCCUUCGGGUUGUAAACCGCUUUCGCCUGUGACGAAGCGUGAGUGACGGUAAUGGGUAAAGAAGCACCGGCUAACUACGUG
This 468-nucleotide ribosomal RNA is filed under the name uncultured bacterium. RNAcentral describes it as "partial 16S ribosomal RNA". It matches the Rfam family "Bacterial small subunit ribosomal RNA", at positions 28 to 507 of the family's 1533-position model. The record is from RNAcentral.